Molecule: ribosomal RNA, 363 nt
Filed under: uncultured fungus
Lineage: Eukaryota; Fungi
Description: bacterial SSU rRNA
Rfam family: Eukaryotic small subunit ribosomal RNA
Source: RNAcentral
GUAGUCAUAUGCUUGUCUCUGAGACUAAGCCAUGCAUGUCUAAGUAUAAACAAUUUUGUACUGUGAAACUGCGGACGGCUCAUUAAAUCAGUUACAAUCUACUUGAUCGUAUAUUCAAUGAAUUAAUCGGGUAACCCUAGUAAUUCUAGAGCUAAUACGUGCAAAAAACUCUGACCUCUUUUUAAGGGGAAGGAGUGUAUUUAUUAGGUAAAAAACCACUCAUCCUUCGGGGUGUCUUUUGAUGAUUCAUAAUAACUUAGCAAAUCGCAGGCCAUGCUUGCGAUGAUACAAACGAGUUUCUGACCUAUCAACUUUAGAUGGCAGAGUAGGGGUUUGCCAUGGUGACAACGGGUAACGGGGAAU